UUGUGGGGAAGUGGGACUAGCAGGAAUUUGGAUGACAGCAAAAGGAAAAACAACAAGACAAAUUAACAAUUCAAAGGUUCAUGUGCAGCAAGUAAACAGGCAUUGUGGAAGAGGAGCCCAGGCAUCUGCUUGCUAAUUUCCCUCACUACCAAGAAACCUGAGUUAUUACCAGAGACUUCAAAUAUAGGAUUUUGAAAACCACAAAGAAAAUGAGAGCAGAGAAAAGG
Long non-coding RNA from Hyaena hyaena (striped hyena), 227 nucleotides. RefSeq lists it as uncharacterized. The record is from RefSeq and is a predicted model, not a curated record. Lineage: Eukaryota; Metazoa; Chordata; Mammalia; Carnivora; Hyaenidae. The transcript is spliced from 3 exons.